AAGAGCCUACGUUAAAAAUUAAACUUUAUUAAAACGAUUCAGCGGAGGCGCAAAAAUGACCAUGUGUCCUAGUCAGGAGUUGACUAAAAAGUGUCUCUCCAACAGCCCUUCGUCCUCGUCGAGACCGCGAAGAUCAUAUAUCCCGUUAUCGGUUUUUAAACAAACAGUUCGGGGCCCGAACGCCUAGGCAUCCGGUCUCCAUGAUCUCGCGCCUUCCUAAUUACGAGUCUACGUUCCAUUCCUCUUACAUUCGGCCUCCCUGUAUUUAUGUUUGUCCUCAAGCACGAACCCCGAAUUGCCUAGCUCUUCUUGUUUUGCUGUAACAAAUCGAUCGAAAAGUACAUCUGAGUAACAAGUCCAAUGAUUUACUUGACUCAACCAACAUUGAACAACUUCCUGAUAACAGUACAGCGCAUGUCUCGAACGUUGAUUGCUGAGAUUACCAGGUUCGACGUCAUCCAACAUCAGAGACGUGACAUUGUUCGACGUCUUCAAGCUCCGGUGUACGUCUUUGUUGAUUUUAGUUUUCUUCGUUAUAUAGUAGCCAACAACUAACUGAUGGGAAUUCGGUAGCAUCAUGUAACAGCGGUUCAUCACUGUUACCAUGAUAUAGAGUUUGUUAUUGUCCAAUAGAUCGCACAGUAUUGGUCUGAUAUCUUCAACGUCUAAUAGAUCAAAUAUUAGUCUGACAAUUAAAUGAUCAUGGUAGUGGUCAACAACCGUCGUUUUCGCAUUUGUUAAAGAAUAAUGGCCCACAACCAAUUAUUCUCUUCAUAGUCCAAUAGAUCACAUACUAUGGACACAGUAUCUUCAGCGUCCAAUAGAUUGCACACUAUUGAUCCGAUAUCUUCGUCGUCUGAUAGAUCGCAUACUAUCAGUCCGUCGACUAAAUAAUCGUGAUAGUGUUCAAAUACCAACUAUCGUUUUCGUAUUCGCUAAAGAAUAAUGGCCAACCACCAACUAUUCCUUUCAUCGUCCAAUAGAUCGCACACUAUGGACCCAAUAUUUUUUAAUAGUCUAAUAGAUCAAACACUAUUAGCCUAACGUUACUUUUCAUUCGACCGUGCUCUCUUUACCUUUCGUUAUUAAGAAACGAUUGCUCGAUUAUAGCGUUCAUACUGGCUAUUAGCACGUGGGGUUGCCACCACAUUCAAAACAUGCCGAAUAGCGUAUGUGUUACAGAACAAUUCAAACGUUCUCGACGUAAAUGCAGUGCCUCGAUCGUUAAUUAUGUAUACUGGUACCCCAAAAAGAUGCGCUAAAUUCAACAAUAUUUUCACCACACGUUUCGACUUACUAUUCCUCACUGGUUCAAUCACAGUGAAUUUCAUAAACGCAUCAGCCAACACCAGUAAAUACUUACUCUUUCGAAUGCUAAGCCCAAAGGGUCCCACGUGGUCAACAUGCACUGUGUGAAAAGGUAUCGGUGUCUUUCCUAUUGGGUGCAACAUCCCUUUGUUUAUGACCUGGCACUCGUCAU
Long non-coding RNA from Ceratina calcarata, 1480 nucleotides. RefSeq lists it as uncharacterized. The transcript has 2 exons. The record is from RefSeq and is a predicted model, not a curated record. Lineage: Eukaryota; Metazoa; Arthropoda; Insecta; Hymenoptera; Apidae.